Molecule: ribosomal RNA, 508 nt
Filed under: uncultured Mycobacterium sp.
Lineage: Bacteria; Bacillati; Actinomycetota; Actinomycetes; Mycobacteriales; Mycobacteriaceae
Description: bacterial SSU rRNA
Rfam family: Bacterial small subunit ribosomal RNA
Source: RNAcentral
AGAGUUUGAUCCUGGCUCAGGACGAACGCUGGCGGCGUGCUUAACACAUGCAAGUCGAACGGAAAGGCCCCUUCGGGGGUGCUCGAGUGGCGAACGGGUGAGUAACACGUGGGUGAUCUGCCCUGCACUUUGGGAUAAGCCUGGGAAACUGGGUCUAAUACCGAAUACACCCUGCUGGUCGCAUGGCCUGGUGGGGGAAAGCGUUUGUAGCGGUGUGGGAUGAGCCCGCGGCCUAUCAGCUUGUUGGUGGGGUGAUGGCCUACCAAGGCGACGACGGGUAGCCGGCCUGAGAGGGUGACCGGCCACACUGGGACUGAGAUACGGCCCAGACUCCUACGGGAGGCAGCAGUGGGGAAUAUUGCACAAUGGGCGCAAGCCUGAUGCAGCGACGCCGCGUGAGGGAUGACGGCCUUCGGGUUGUAAACCUCUUUCAGUGCCGACGAAGCGGAAGUGACGGUAGGCACAGAAGAAGGACCGGCCAACUACGUGCCAGCAGCCGCGGUAAUAC